RNAcentral lists this ribosomal RNA (1235 nucleotides) under Nocardiopsis prasina. RNAcentral's name for it is "bacterial SSU rRNA". It matches the Rfam family "Bacterial small subunit ribosomal RNA", at positions 159 to 1392 of the family's 1533-position model. Lineage: Bacteria; Bacillati; Actinomycetota; Actinomycetes; Streptosporangiales; Nocardiopsidaceae. The record is from RNAcentral. RNAcentral also lists the same sequence under 1 other name.
CCGUCUAAUACCGGAUACGACCCGCCACCUCAUGGUGGAGGGUGGAAAGUUUUAUCGGUCAGGGAUGGGCUCGCGGCCUAUCAGCUUGUUGGUGGGGUAACGGCCUACCAAGGCGAUUACGGGUAGCCGGCCUGAGAGGGCGACCGGCCACACUGGGACUGAGACACGGCCCAGACUCCUGCGGGAGGCAGCAGUGGGGAAUAUUGCACAAUGGGCGAAAGCCUGAUGCAGCGACGCCGCGUGGGGGAUGACGGCCUUCGGGUUGUAAACCUCUUUUACCACCAACGCAGGCUCCACGUUCUCGUGGGGUUGACGGUAGGUGGGGAAUAAGGACCGGCUAACUACGUGCCAGCAGCCGCGGUAAUACGUAGGGUCCGAGCGUUGUCCGGAAUUAUUGGGCGUAAAGAGCUCGUAGGCGGCAUGUCGCGUCUGCUGUGAAAGACCGGGGCUUAACUCCGGUUCUGCAGUGGAUACGGGCAUGCUAGAGGUAGGUAGGGGAAACUGGAAUUCCUGGUGUAGCGGUGAAAUGCGCAGAUAUCAGGAGGAACACCGGUGGCGAAGGCGGGUUUCUGGGCCUUACCUGACGCUGAGGAGCGAAAGCAUGGGGAGCGAACAGGAUUAGAUACCCUGGUAGUCCAUGCCGUAAACGUUGGGCGCUAGGUGUGGGGACUUUCCACGGUUUCCGCGCCGUAGCUAACGCAUUAAGCGCCCCGCCUGGGGAGUACGGCCGCAAGGCUAAAACUCAAAGGAAUUGACGGGGGCCCGCACAAGCGGCGGAGCAUGUUGCUUAAUUCGACGCAACGCGAAGAACCUUACCAAGGUUUGACAUCACCCGUGGACCUGUAGAGAUACAGGGUCAUUUAGUUGGUGGGUGACAGGUGGUGCAUGGCUGUCGUCAGCUCGUGUCGUGAGAUGUUGGGUUAAGUCCCGCAACGAGCGCAACCCUUGUUCCAUGUUGCCAGCACGUAAUGGUGGGGACUCAUGGGAGACUGCCGGGGUCAACUCGGAGGAAGGUGGGGACGACGUCAAGUCAUCAUGCCCCUUAUGUCUUGGGCUGCAAACAUGCUACAAUGGCCGGUACAAUGGGCGUGCGAUACCGUAAGGUGGAGCGAAUCCCUUAAAGCCGGUCUCAGUUCGGAUUGGGGUCUGCAACUCGACCCCAUGAAGGUGGAGUCGCUAGUAAUCGCGGAUCAGCAACGCCGCGGUGAAUACGUUCCCGGGCCUUGUACACACCG